CUUGGUCAUUUAGAGGAAGUAAAAGUCGUAACAAGGUAUUAUAUGGUGAACCUGCGGAAGGAUCAUUA
This 68-nucleotide ribosomal RNA is filed under the name Calostoma lutescens. RNAcentral describes it as "partial 18S ribosomal RNA". Lineage: Eukaryota; Fungi; Basidiomycota; Agaricomycetes; Boletales; Calostomataceae. The record is from RNAcentral.